RNAcentral lists this ribosomal RNA (433 nucleotides) under uncultured bacterium. Its description in RNAcentral is "partial 16S ribosomal RNA". It matches the Rfam family "Bacterial small subunit ribosomal RNA", at positions 35 to 507 of the family's 1533-position model. The record is from RNAcentral.
GGGGGGGGGGGGGGGGGGGGCGGGGGGGGGGGGGGCGGGCGGAGGGGUCGGGGUGGGUGGGGGACGGGUGGGUAACGCGUGGGAACGUGCGUUUAGGGUCGGAAGGACUCAGGGAGAGGUGUGCUAAUGCCGAAUGUGUGCUUCGGGGGGAAGAUUGAUCGCCUUUAGAGCUGCCCGCGUCUGAUGAGCUAGUGGGUGAGGUAAAGGCUAACCAAGGCGACGAUCAGUAGCUGGUCUGAGAGGAUGAUCAGCCACAUUGGGACUGAGACACGGCCCAAACUCCUACGGGAGGCAGCAGUGGGGAAUCUUGCGCAAUGGGCGAAAGCCUGACGCAGCCAUGCCGCGUGAAUGAUGAAGGUCUUAGGAUUGUAAAAUUCUUUCACCGGGGACGAUAAUGACGGUACCCGGAGAAGAAGCCCCGGCUAACUUCGUG